RNAcentral lists this non-coding RNA (80 nucleotides) under uncultured Ruminococcus sp. Its description in RNAcentral is "Glycine riboswitch". It matches the Rfam family "Glycine riboswitch aptamer", at positions 9 to 86 of the family's 94-position model. Rfam says of the family: This family represents the bacterial glycine riboswitch. Lineage: Bacteria; Bacillati; Bacillota; Clostridia; Eubacteriales; Oscillospiraceae. The record is from RNAcentral.
CGGUACUCCGGAGAAUUCCAUUUUGGAUGCCGAAGGUGCAAACAGUUUUCUGUGAAUCUCUCAGGCAAAAGGACGGAGCU